RNAcentral lists this ribosomal RNA (404 nucleotides) under uncultured bacterium. Its description in RNAcentral is "bacterial SSU rRNA". It matches the Rfam family "Bacterial small subunit ribosomal RNA", at positions 355 to 776 of the family's 1533-position model. The record is from RNAcentral.
UGGGGAAUAUUGGACAAUGGGGGAAACCCUGAUCCAGCAAUGCCGCGUGAAUGAAGAAGGCCUUCGGGUUGUAAAAUUCUUUCACUCGUGAAGAUAAUGACGGUAGCGAGAGAAGAAGCUCCGGCUAACUCUGUGCCAGCAGCCGCGGUAAGACAGAGGGAGCUAGCGUUGUUCGGAAUGACUGGGCGUAAAGGGUGCGUAGGCGGUUAUUUAAGUAAGAUGUUAAAGCCCUGGGCUUAACCCAGGAAUCGCAUUUUAAACUGAAUAGCUAGAGGGUGACAGAGGAAAGUGGAAUUCCUAGUGUAGGGGUGAAAUCCGUAGAUAUUAGGAGGAACACCAGAGGCGAAGGCGACUUUCUGGGUCACAACUGACGCUGAGGCACGAAAGCGUGGGGAGCAAACAGG